Molecule: long non-coding RNA, 1203 nt
Filed under: Oryza sativa aus subgroup
Lineage: Eukaryota; Viridiplantae; Streptophyta; Magnoliopsida; Poales; Poaceae
Description: lncRNA OsN22_11G014760
Source: RNAcentral
AUGUUCAAGCGUCGCUGGGAUGAGCCGGCACUUAUGAAGGAGGGUGGCAGCAGCAGGGGGAUCGGUGAGAUGACGCAGACGAAGGAGGAGGCAAAAGGUGGAGGAGAAAGCAAGAAACCGGGUCAGAUCAAGGUAGGAGAUGUGGUUGUCCCGGUAAAUUCAGAAGUGAAGAAAGGAAAGAAUUGUGUCUCUAAGUUUGAUGAUGAUGACGAUGAUUUGUUGGAGUUUGAUGAGGAGCCGUGGGUGAUUAGGGACAAGAAAGGGGAUGAUCAAAAGGGUGGUGCACGGGUGAAAGUUUGCUCUAGGUGCACUCAAAAGGGACAUGGUGUUGCUGAUUGUAAGGUGGAUCGUGCAUGUCUACCACAAAUGUCCAGUCCUAAAGCUUCCAAAGACGGUGUUGGCUAUGCGGUUGAAGGCCUAGGUUUUCAGCACAUCCCACAUCAACCGCUUCAAAGGAACAAGAAGACUACGAAGAAGGCUCUUGUGCAUGUGGUUGGUGGUGCUCUUUCGGUGGAAAGGUUGGUCACUCUUCUCCACAAGUUGUGUCCAACUAAAUGGAAGUGGGAGCCAGUGCCACACGGGAAGGACGCUUUUGUUAAAAGUGGAGAAGACAAUGAGGGAAGGGAGAAGGGUCCAAAAAUGUCAAAGGUUGAUGAUAUGGUAAUUGAUGACAAUCAUGAUAGGAGUGAAGGGAGUAAAGAGGCACAGGAAGGUUCUGAUUUAGAGAAAGAAAUGGAUUUUUCUAUGAUGGCUGAAAAUAUCUUGGAUGUGGCUGUCCAAGAUGUGUUGGAGGAGGUGUAUGAGAGGGUAGAGAGGGAGGAAAUGGAGGAAAAUGAGGCGGGGGUGCAGCAGGAAAAGAUUGUUCAGCUGGCUAAUGUUGGGGAGGUGUUGGUGACACCAAAAAGGGCUAGCGAGAGGUUGAUGGGCAGCAGCGGGAGACAUUCACUUGAAAAGGCUAAGUCCAAAAAGGCAUGGAUGAAUCUCGACCCUCUCUCAGGGAAACAGAUUGAGGGAAUAAAAGCAGCAAGCAAACCUGCGACGAUGCUGUCGCUGACGCUGCUCCUCUCACCGCUCGCCAUACCGACCGUCAAGACCGAGACGUACACUUGCGACGACUUCCUGCAGCAGGUUCCGCCGGCCACCGCCGACGCCGCCACGGACUCCCCGCGUAGGUUCACCGCUGCCCGAGCUCAUGGUGGCGGC